This 431-nucleotide unclassified non-coding RNA is filed under the name Hevea brasiliensis (rubber tree). The record is from RNAcentral. Lineage: Eukaryota; Viridiplantae; Streptophyta; Magnoliopsida; Malpighiales; Euphorbiaceae.
CGACGAGACUAUCUGAGACCUGGAGGUUGUAGCUUUAACAGGAGAGGGAGAGAGCCUAUUUCUUCUGGAAGAGGAAGUUUUGCUUCAAAUGAUUCAUGGGGAACUAGGAAUUACUCAAGCAUGAAUCGGGAUUUGAGCAGAAACUUGUCCAAUAAAGGUUUCUUGAUCAAAACAGAUGAUAAUGCUGGAGCUGGUGAGAUACUAAAUGAAAGUUUGUGGGGUCAAGGAAGGGACAGAGAAACACAGCAAUCACAAAAUUGGGAGAAGCCAAAAUCUGCAUCAAAUUUAGAAACUAAAAGUGUCCAUCCUGUGCUAUCAUCAGGAUCAUUUCCUAGUGUUAAACAGGAUAUUGCAAUGGCACCUUCCUCUGCGGUGGUGACACGAUCUGCAAUCAAAAUUAACGAAACAGACAAGAUAUGGCAUUACCAGGA